UUUUAAAAGCAUCAAGUUAAAUCCAUCUGUUGAUUAAAAUACCAUGAAAGGUCUGAACAUCAUCACUUCUAUUUUACAAAAAGAAGACGGUGAUUGACCUGUAACAAAAAAACAUGAUGCAUUUUUACACUUGGACCAGAACAGGCCUGAGUAAAACUUGAAAAUCCUACACCUGAUUAGACCACUUCUUUGAAAAUCCUACAUAUCUUAAGUUAUCAAGAGCGACAGAAUCGAUUAGAAUUACACAACAGUACGACUAAUUUGUUGAUAAUAACUGCAUAUCACAAUUCCAUUCCUUUCCCAAAUUCUUCAGCCGUUUUUGUCUGUGAAAGUGGAAAAUGAUGCUCAAAGAAGUCUCGCUUCCACGGCCUCAAAAUGCCUGUCAAUAACGAGGAAAAAAUGAAAAUAAAAAAUUAAUUAGAAGGUAAAUUAAUUGGAAUGAUUUCCAAUCAAAUUGAGAAUAGCCACAGAUCUACCAAACUCAAGACUCCAGGGGGACAGCCCAGGAACUUGAAAAUUGGAAUGUCCAUCUUAGGUCUCUUUAAUUUAAUUUGGAUAUUCUUUACUAUUUAGAAAGCAAAUCCACGAGAUUCAGCUACUAUGUUUAAAAAGCAAAUGCAGAAAAUCUAUCAACCACCACAUAGAUAAACUCACACUGACAACUUCCCACCAGAGAUUGACAUAUGCCUUUUCACUUUAUCUGGUUGCAACUGCAUUAGAAAAAGUUUUUUUGUUUUUCUUUUAAAAAAAAGAAAAUAGAGUCUUGCAAAAGAACAAUCAAUGGAGCAAUUGAAGCAUUCUCCUCAGACUCAAAAUCCACUUCCAAGUCACAGCAGUGAUUAUUUAUUUACAUCAAACAAUGUCAUAAAGAAAUUCUGGAAGGUAAUGAACUAUAUCUUACUAUUGUAGUACAGCACCAACCACAUCUCACCAUAUGCUUUGUUGAACAUUUCAACAUGGAGUUUCUAUCUAUGAGAGUUCAUUUUUCAAAGUCAUCAACAUUAUUUUGAUAUUCUCAUGGUUUUAGCACUGAUAAUUCACAUCUCUGACCUUCCCUGAAUAAUUAUUAUUGAACAGCAAGUGCUAAGGAAACACUGGUCUAGAAUCUGAGAAUUAUUGUGAAAAUAUAAUGAAGUUCUGAUAUAAUAAAUUCUAGGCCAUACUAAACAUUUAAAUCGCCUCUGACAAUGUCCAAGGGCUACACUGAUUAGCUCAUAAUCCCUGUAUAGUUGUCACUACAAAUUUAAAACCACAUAUUCAAUUUUGUGACACUGUAACAUCCCAAAAUGAGAUUGUUCUUGAAAGCCUCAGGACUUACCCUAAAAUCAUUCAAAUAGCCACAAAAUUGCUUCACCGAUCACAUUUUGACACCAAAUCACAAUGGAAAACUCAAACACAGAAAGCAGAAGUUACACAUUUUUAGCAUUUUCUAGUUUCAAUUCUACUCUUCUAAGCAACUUAUCGCAGUCCUAAACAUAUGAUGUAACCCCACAAGGCACAAGUGAGAAUUACUUCAUAAAAAAGAACAUAUCAUCAAAGAUUAUUUCUCUCAAUCAAUUAAAGGCAACAUACCUCUAAUUCAUCCACUAAAUAAUUUUAAAAAAAUAACAAAUUAAAACGGGUAAAUUAGGCCAUUUGAUAAUUGCAUCAAUGAUAAGUGAUGAUGAAGAAAAACGCUGAGCAAGGCCGCCCAAUUUGAUGCGUCGUCAACAACACCUUUCAUUCCUUGUGUUUUGUAAUGUUGCUGCAAACCUUCUGCAGUGCCUUGUUUAGUCGCGUGAAAGCUGAAACAAUCAAUUCUUCUUGUAAAAGAUUGUACAUCCCAGAGUGAACACUUUCGAUGCAAUUUGGAGCCAAAAGAAAAUUGAAGAGUUAACAGAGGAGGAGGCCAUGUCGGCAAUGUGGUGGAGAAAGAAGGGAGCACCAAAUUGAAAUCGAUCCAGGCUUUUUAUUUCAU
Molecule: unclassified non-coding RNA, 1957 nt
Filed under: Hevea brasiliensis (rubber tree)
Lineage: Eukaryota; Viridiplantae; Streptophyta; Magnoliopsida; Malpighiales; Euphorbiaceae
Source: RNAcentral